RNAcentral lists this ribosomal RNA (253 nucleotides) under uncultured bacterium. Its description in RNAcentral is "partial 16S ribosomal RNA". It matches the Rfam family "Bacterial small subunit ribosomal RNA", at positions 524 to 776 of the family's 1533-position model. The record is from RNAcentral.
UACGUAGGGGGCAAGCGUUGUCCGGAUUUAUUGGGCGUAAAGAGCGUGUAGGCGGUUAGGUAGGUCCGUUGUGAAAACUCGAGGCUCAACCUCGAGACGCCGAUGGAAACCAUCUGACUAGAGUCCGGAAGAGGAGAGUGGAAUUCCUGGUGUAGCGGUGAAAUGCGCAGAUAUCAGGAAGAACACCAAUGGCGAAAGCAGCUCUCUGGGACGGUACUGACGCUGAGACGCGAAAGCGUGGGGAGCGAACAGG